Molecule: ribosomal RNA, 248 nt
Filed under: uncultured bacterium
Lineage: Bacteria
Description: partial 16S ribosomal RNA
Rfam family: Bacterial small subunit ribosomal RNA
Source: RNAcentral
CCCGGCGACCGGCGCACGGGUGAGUAACGCGUAUGCAACUUACCUAUCAGAGGGGGAUAACCCGGCGAAAGUCGGACUAAUACCGCAUGAAGCAGGGGCCCCGCAUGGGGAUAUUUGCUAAAGAUUCAUCGCUGAUAGAUAGGCAUGCGUUCCAUUAGGCAGUUGGCGGGGUAACGGCCCACCAAACCGACGAUGGAUAGGGGUUCCGAGAGGAAGGUCCCCCACAUUGGUACUGAGACACGGACCAA